This 200-nucleotide ribosomal RNA is filed under the name uncultured bacterium. RNAcentral describes it as "partial 16S ribosomal RNA". It matches the Rfam family "Bacterial small subunit ribosomal RNA", at positions 29 to 238 of the family's 1533-position model. The record is from RNAcentral.
AACGAACGCUGGCGGCGUGGUUAAGACAUGCAAGUCGAACGGGAUACUUUGGUAGCAAUAUCUGAGUAUUCAGCGGCGAACGGGUGCGUAACACGUGGGUACCUUCCGGAAAGUGAGAAAUAGCCCAGGGAAACUUGGAUUAAUAUCUCAUGUGAUCGCAAGAUCAAAGGCGCAAGCCGCUUUCCGAUGGGCCUGCGGCC